AUACGUAGGGGGCGAGCGUUAUCCGGAAUUACUGGGUGUAAAGGGUGUGCAGGCGGCAUUGCAAGUUUGAUGUGAAACCCCGGGGCUUAACUCCGGGCAUGCAUCGAAAACUACAGAGCUAGAGUACAGGAGAGGAAAGCGGAAUUCCUAGUGUAACGGUGAAAUGUGUAGAUAUUAGGAGGAACACCAGUGGCGAAGGCGGCUUACUGGACUGUAACUGACACUGAGGCACGAAAGCGUGGGGAGCAAACAGGAUUAGAUACCCUGGUAGUCCACGCUGUAAACGAUGAAUACUAGGUGUAGGGGGUAUCAACUCCCUCUGUGCCGCAGCAAACGCAAUAAGUAUUCCGCCUGGGGAGUACGGCCGCAAGGUUGAAACUUAAAGGAAUUGACGGGG
RNAcentral lists this ribosomal RNA (397 nucleotides) under uncultured bacterium. RNAcentral describes it as "partial 16S ribosomal RNA". It matches the Rfam family "Bacterial small subunit ribosomal RNA", at positions 523 to 918 of the family's 1533-position model. The record is from RNAcentral.